Molecule: ribosomal RNA, 439 nt
Filed under: uncultured bacterium
Lineage: Bacteria
Description: SSU rRNA
Rfam family: Bacterial small subunit ribosomal RNA
Source: RNAcentral
AGGAUGAACGCUGGCGGCGUGCCUAAGACAUGCAAGUCGAGUGGGUUUAGGCCCACGGCGAACGGGUGAGUAAUACCUAGGAACUUUUUUCAAGUCGAGGAUAUCCUUCCGAAAGGAAGUGCAAUACUUGAUGUGGCAGCAAUGCUAAAGGAGCAAUCCGCUUGAAGCGAGGCCUGGGCACCAUCAGCUAGUUGGUAAGGUAAUGGCUUACCAAGGCUUUGACGGUUAGCGGAUCUGAGAGGAUGGCCCGCCACACUGGGACUGCGACACGGCCCAGACUCCUACGGGAGGCAGCAGUUUGGAAUUUGGUCAAUGGGGAAACCCUGAACCAGCGACGCCGCGUGGACGAAGAAGGCCUUCGGGUCGUAAAGUCCUUUAGCAGGGAAAAUUUGAUUGUACCUGCAGAAUAAGAGGUUGCUAACUCUGCGCCAGCAGCCGC